Molecule: ribosomal RNA, 253 nt
Filed under: uncultured bacterium
Lineage: Bacteria
Description: partial 16S ribosomal RNA
Rfam family: Bacterial small subunit ribosomal RNA
Source: RNAcentral
UACGUAGGGUGCAGGCGUUAAUCGGAAUUACUGGGCGUAAAGCGUGCGCAGGCGGUUUGCUAAGACAGGUGUGAAAUCCCCGGGCUUAACCUGGGAACUGCGCUUGUAACUGGCAAGCUGGAGUGUGGCAGAGGGGGGUGGAAUUCCACGUGUAGCAGUGAAAUGCGUAGAGAUGCGGAGGAACACCGAUGGCGAAGGCAGCCCCCUGGGCUAACACUGACGCCCAGGCACGAAAGCGUGGGGAGCAAACAGG